This is a long non-coding RNA of Clupea harengus (Atlantic herring), 453 nucleotides long. Lineage: Eukaryota; Metazoa; Chordata; Actinopteri; Clupeiformes; Clupeidae. The record is from Ensembl.
GUGGUGUAAAUGUCCUGAGAGGUUAUUAUGGCCAGACUGUGGUGUAAAUGUCCUGAGAGGUUAUUAUGGCCAGACUGUGGUGUAAAUGUCCUAAGAGGUUAUUAUAGCCAGACUGUGGUGAAAAUGUCCUGAGAGGUUAUUAUGGCCAGACUGUGGUGUAAAUGUCCUGAGAGGUUAUUAUGGCCAGACUGUGGUGUAAAUGUCCUGAGAGGUUAUUAUAGUCAGACUGUGGUGAAAAUGUAAUUUCUCUGAAGAGGUGUCAGGAGAGUUCCAGAGAUGUGAUCUAUACCUAUCAGAAUGCACUCAAUAGUACUCAAGUAUUUAAGUAUUAAAAAGUAUCACAUGUCUUCAAUACCCAACUUUUCUAGCUAGUCUUACUUUAACAGCUCCACUUGAGUUCUUAAAAUUAACCUGAAUUUAUUUGGCCUAAAACUAGUUCUCAGAUCUCGGAUA